CCUACGGGGGGCUGCAGUGGGGAAUAUUGGACAAUGGGGGGAACCCUGAUCCAGCCAUGCCGCGUGUGUGAAGAAGGCCCUCGGGUUGUAAAGCACUUUCAGUGAGGAAGAACGCCUGGUGGUUAAUACCCAUCAGGAAAGACUUCACUCACAGAAGAAGCACCGGCUAACUCCGUGCCAGCAGCCGCGGUAAUACGGAGGGUGCGAGCGUUAAUCGGAAUUACUGGGCGUAAAGCGCGCGUAGGUGGCUUGAUAAGCCGGUUGUGAAAGCCCCGGGCUCAACCUGGGAACGGCAUCCGGAACUGUCAAGCUAGAGUGCAGGAGAGGAAGGUAGAAUUCCCGGUGUAGCGGUGAAAUGCGUAGAGAUCGGGAGGAAUACCAGUGGCGAAGGCGGCCUUCUGGACUGACACUGACACUGAGGUGCGAAAGCGUGGGUAGCAAACAGGAUUAGAUACCCCAGUAGUC
RNAcentral lists this ribosomal RNA (465 nucleotides) under Vreelandella stevensii. RNAcentral describes it as "partial 16S ribosomal RNA". It matches the Rfam family "Bacterial small subunit ribosomal RNA", at positions 338 to 795 of the family's 1533-position model. The record is from RNAcentral. Lineage: Bacteria; Pseudomonadati; Pseudomonadota; Gammaproteobacteria; Oceanospirillales; Halomonadaceae.